AGGGAGGUGAUAAAUGUCGUUUCAGUUUUCAUAAUGUCGUUUUGACUUCAAACGUGAUCUUGACCAUUUUCGAGUUUGAAUUUGGCAAAAUUCAGAACAUGGAAUUUGUAAUUCUUUGAGUUAGCAUUCUAAUCUAAUUUGAAUCGCCAAGAUUGGAUGCCGGUUGAGAAAGUUAUGCAUGAAUUAAUGAACACUGCCCACAACUUUGAUGUUUUAAAUUAUGUAAAAUUUAAAACGUAACUCAUUCAU
This 249-nucleotide long non-coding RNA is filed under the name Erythranthe guttata (spotted monkey flower). RNAcentral describes it as "long non-coding RNA (EGUT_LNC000699)". Lineage: Eukaryota; Viridiplantae; Streptophyta; Magnoliopsida; Lamiales; Phrymaceae. The record is from RNAcentral.